Thalassophryne amazonica is the source of this 353-nucleotide long non-coding RNA. RefSeq lists it as uncharacterized. The record is from RefSeq and is a predicted model, not a curated record. NCBI's taxonomy places the organism in Eukaryota, Metazoa, Chordata, Actinopteri, Batrachoidiformes, Batrachoididae. The transcript has 3 exons.
GGGGGGUGGGGGUCUUCCAUGGCUUAGAUGAUUAUGUGGAAUAUUCACCAGAAUGUCUGCAGAUGCUGAAAUCUUGUUUUAAAUAACGGCUCCAUUCUGGAUCUCCAUCUUGUAUGGUGCAUUCGCUUUGGAAUGAAGAUUCUGCAGCAGCGAAAGCCACGCGGGAUGAAAGCUACUGUCUGCAUGAAGCUAAGUCUGGUGCUGAACAUCCAGGAGCAAAGAUUUUUCAGUUGCAGACUGCACUGCAGGAGAGCCGAUCGGAUAAUCCAGAGGAGCGAAGCGGCUUCAGAGGACGCCCUGGCAGGCCCGGCAGCCCCAGAAUCAGAUUUUCCUCAGUUGCCUGCAGUAAAAGG